RNAcentral lists this small nuclear RNA (106 nucleotides) under Castor canadensis (American beaver). Lineage: Eukaryota; Metazoa; Chordata; Mammalia; Rodentia; Castoridae. The record is from RNAcentral.
GUGCUGGCUUCAGCAGCACAUAUACUAAAAUUGGAAGAUACAGAGAAGAUUAGCAUGGCCCCUGCACGAGGAUGAUACACAAAUUCGUGAAGCGUUCCAUACUUAA